GAUGAACGCUGGCGGCGUGCCUAAUACAAGCAAGUCGAGCGAACGGACGAGAAGCUUGCUUCUCUGAUGUUAGCGGCGGACGGGUGAGUAACACGUGGAUAACCUACCUAUAAGACUGGGAUAACUUCGGGAAACCGGAGCUAAUACCGGAUAAUAUUUUGAACCGCAUGGUUCAAAAGUGAAAGACAGUCUUGCUGUCACUUAUAGAUGGAUCCGCGCUGCAUUAGCUAGUUGGUAAGGUAACGGCUUACCAAGGCAACGAUGCGUAGCCGACCUGAGAGGGUGAUCGGCCACACUGGAACUGAGACACGGUCCAGACUCCUACGGGAGGCAGCAGUAGGGAAUCUUCCGCAAUGGGCGAAAGCCUGACGGAGCAACGCCGCGUGAGUGAUGAAGGUCUUCGGAUCGUAAAACUCUGUUAUUAGGGAAGAACAUAUGUGUAAGUAACUGUGCACAUCUUGACGGUACCUAAUCAGAAAGCCACGGCUAACUACGUG
RNAcentral lists this ribosomal RNA (497 nucleotides) under uncultured bacterium. RNAcentral's name for it is "partial 16S ribosomal RNA". It matches the Rfam family "Bacterial small subunit ribosomal RNA", at positions 28 to 507 of the family's 1533-position model. The record is from RNAcentral.